This 253-nucleotide ribosomal RNA is filed under the name uncultured bacterium. RNAcentral describes it as "partial 16S ribosomal RNA". It matches the Rfam family "Bacterial small subunit ribosomal RNA", at positions 524 to 776 of the family's 1533-position model. The record is from RNAcentral.
UACGGAGAGUGCAAACGUUGUUCGGAUUCAUUGGGCUUAAAGGGCACGUAGGCGGUUGGCUUAGUCGGAUGUGAAAGCCCUCGGCUUAACCGAGGAAGUGCAUCCGAUACUGGCCGGCUUGAGUAAAGGAGGGGAGAGUGGAACUGCUGGUGUAGCGGUGAAAUGCGUAGAUAUCAGCAGGAACGCCGGUGGCGAAAGCGACUCUCUGGCCUUUUACUGACGCUGAGGUGCGAAAGCUAGGGGAGCAAACGGG